This 445-nucleotide ribosomal RNA is filed under the name uncultured bacterium. RNAcentral's name for it is "partial 16S ribosomal RNA". It matches the Rfam family "Bacterial small subunit ribosomal RNA", at positions 354 to 796 of the family's 1533-position model. The record is from RNAcentral.
GUGAGGAAUAUUGGUCAAUGGGCGAGAGCCUGAACCAGCCAAGUCGCGUGAAGGAAGAAGGAUCUAUGGUUCGUAAACUUCUUUUGCAGGGGAAUAAAGUGCGGGACGUGUCCUGUUUUGUAUGUACCCUGAGAAUAAGGAUCGGCUAACUCCGUGCCAGCAGCCGCGGUAAUACGGAGGAACCGAGCGUUAUCCGGAUUUAUUGGGUUUAAAGGGUGCGUAGGUGGUUUGAUAAGUCAGCGGUGAAAGUUUGCAGCUUAACUGUAAAAAUGCCGUUGAAACUGUCGGACUUGAGUGUAAAUGAGGUAGGCGGAAUGCGUGGUGUAGCGGUGAAAUGCAUAGAUAUCACGCAGAACUCCGAUUGCGAAGGCAGCUUACUAAGCUACAACUGACACUGAAGCACGAAAGCGUGGGGAUCAAACAGGAUUAGAAACCCUAGUAGUCC